This 29-nucleotide non-coding RNA is filed under the name Rattus norvegicus (Norway rat). Lineage: Eukaryota; Metazoa; Chordata; Mammalia; Rodentia; Muridae. The record is from RNAcentral.
UGGUCUGACAGGAAAAAUCCCCCAAACCC